GACAUCCCUUCUUCUAACUGAUCUGGAAAUUUACAAUCUAAAAUGUUUAUGGGUGUUAUACUCACACGUCUGCUCUACUGAAUCUGAAGAGGUGGGGGCUAACUCCUCAACACUAAGGGGAGGAGGAGGAAAGGGGGGGCUAUGUGAGGGCACUCAUGUCUACACACAAGGUUUUUUAGAUGCAGUGCUCUUCUGCAUUCACACACGCUUCCUCUCAGCACUUUCAACUGCAUCGCGUAUCAUACUCACUCUGACUUUUCAAGCUCUUAACAGUCUCCUCAUGCUACACCCCAACUACUAUUCUUGUGCUAACCUGCAGUUAUUUGCAACUUUAUUUACAGCAACAAGUUACACCCAACUUGUUUUCUUACAGUUCAGCUGCAAGGGUUAACCCACAAGUGAGAAAAAAGAAACAACACAAAUGACAGAGAAAGAGACACACACGAGCACGAGACAUGGGAAUGGUGCAGCUCCGGAACUCACUGAGGGAAGGGGCUUGGAGAGCCCUGCAUAUCUGACAUUUCUCUCCCAAACUCCAACCAGUGCUGUUCUCAUCUGAAAGAAGAAGGAACUCCUGCUGCGUAGCCCGGACUUCAUGCCACACUGCCUAAACCGCCUGACUUCUCUCCAGACAACCAGGGGCAGACCAAAUACAAAAACCGAUUCCGCCUCCAGCCGGGUCCCUCCCCGCUCAGCGAUAACAGGCCCAGCAGCCUGACCGAACUCUCUCAACCGCAAACCCGACCCGAUCAAAAUCUAGCCGCUCAGCCGCCUCCAU
Molecule: long non-coding RNA, 778 nt
Organism: Mugil cephalus (flathead mullet)
Lineage: Eukaryota; Metazoa; Chordata; Actinopteri; Mugiliformes; Mugilidae
Exons: 3
Source: RefSeq, a predicted model, not a curated record